RNAcentral lists this ribosomal RNA (765 nucleotides) under Weissella cibaria. Its description in RNAcentral is "partial 23S ribosomal RNA". The record is from RNAcentral. Lineage: Bacteria; Bacillati; Bacillota; Bacilli; Lactobacillales; Lactobacillaceae.
GGGCUAAACACACCACCGAAACUACGGGUGCCACGUAAGUGGCGCGAUAGGAGAGCGUUCUAAGGGCGAUGAAGUCAGACCGUGAGGACUGGUGGAGCGCUUAGAAGUGAGAAUGCCGGUAUGAGUAGCGAAAGACAGGUGAGAAUCCUGUCCACCGUAUGACUAAGGUUUCCUGGGGAAGGCUCGUCCUCCCAGGGUUAGUCGGGACCUAAGGCGAGGCCGAAAGGCGUAGUCGAUGGAUAACAGGUUGAGAUUCCUGUACCAGGUGAACAUGUUUGAACGAUGGAGGGACGCAGAAGGCUAACGGAUCCCAGCUGCUGGAUAUGCUGGGUUAAAUAAUAAGUCUUAGAUCGAGUUAAAUGCUUUAUCUUUUAAGGACAAGUUAUGAUGAGGACCGAAAUAAAGUAGGGAAGUCCGUGAUGUCACGCUGCCGAGAAAAGCUUCUAGUUAGUGUUUACCUGCCCGUACCGCAAACCGACACAGGUAGUCGAGGAGAGCAUCCUAAGGUGAGCGAGUGAACUCUCGUUAAGGAACUCGGCAAAAUGACCCCGUAACUUCGGGAGAAGGGGUGCUCAGCGAAAGCUGAGCCGCAGUGAAUAGGCCCAGGCGACUGUUUAUCAAAAACACAGGUUUCUGCAAAAUCGUAAGAUGACGUAUAGGGGCUGACGCCUGCCCGGUGCUGGAAGGUUAAAAGGAGYGCUUAGUUUCGGCGAAGGUACGAAUUGAAGCCCCAGUAAACGGCGGCCGUAACUAUAACGGUCCUAA